Arachis ipaensis is the source of this 678-nucleotide non-coding RNA. The record is from RefSeq and is a predicted model, not a curated record. Lineage: Eukaryota; Viridiplantae; Streptophyta; Magnoliopsida; Fabales; Fabaceae.
CUCUCUUCCGCCGUGGCCGUUGCCGCUGCCGCCGCUGCUUGCAUCGCACAAUCUCUCUGUCAUCCCUUGCGUCCUACGAGAUCUCCCCGCCGCCGCUCUCGUCGCAGAGCUCUCUCUGCCGACGCUCUCAUCGCAUCUGCUCCCUCUGGCACCUCUUCCAUCUAAUCUCAACUCGCUCUCUCAGUUCUUCUUGUAACCAUCUCAAAUUUCAGUGUUACAGCUCAAGAUCUUGUUGACACUAUGCUUCUAAAUUUGCUUCUAAAUUUUUGAUAUCUUCACUCUUAACGAUGGAUCUGUAACGCCUCUACUCAAGAGCAUGACAGUGCAUAAUAUGUAUGUUGGAGAGGGUUCAGACUUCAAAUAUAAUAUAUAAAAGGGUGGCUGAGCAGUGGGGUUCUCUUGGUGACUUGACUACGUCUGUUACAUUGAUUCAAUUCGAUUGAUACAGAAGGAAUACUCAGGAUCUGCUAGAACUGGCGAUGGAUCUGUUAGACGAGAUCAAGUUGGUGGGGUCAAAAUACUCAUUAUUUUAUUGGUGUUCAACUUGAUGGUAGCCAACAAUUGGAGCCUCUUCACAACUGCAUUGCAGAUGAUACUGCCAAAGAGGGACAAUUAUUGGUAAAACAAACUGCUAAAAAUGUUGAUGAUGCUGUUAGAGAACUUCUAGAUGCUAAUAUA